This 457-nucleotide ribosomal RNA is filed under the name uncultured bacterium. Its description in RNAcentral is "bacterial SSU rRNA". It matches the Rfam family "Bacterial small subunit ribosomal RNA", at positions 32 to 498 of the family's 1533-position model. The record is from RNAcentral.
AAUCAACGCUGGCGGCGUGCCUAACACAUGCAAGUCGAACGCGAAAGGGGCUUCGGCCCUGAGUAGAGUGGCGUCCGGGUGAGUAACGCGUGGGUAAUCUACCCUCGGGUGGGGAAUAACCAAUCGAAAGAUUGGCUAAUACCGCAUAAUGCAGCGGCUCGACAUCGAGACAGUUGUUAAAGCAGCAAUGCGCCAGAGGAGGAGCCUGCGUCUGAUUAGCUGUUGGCGGGGUAACGGCCCACCAAGGCUACGAUCAGUAGCUGGUCUGAGAGGACGGCCAGCCACAAUGGGCACUGAAACACGGGCCAUACUCCUACGGGAGGCAGCAGUGGGGAAUUUUGCGCAAUGGGCGAAAGCCUGACGCAGCAAACGCCGCGUGAAGGAUGAAAUCCUUCGGGAUGUAAACUUCGCAAAUAUGGGAAGAACACAAUGACGGUACCAUAUGUAAGCCCCGGCU